RNAcentral lists this ribosomal RNA (253 nucleotides) under uncultured prokaryote. Its description in RNAcentral is "partial 16S ribosomal RNA". It matches the Rfam family "Bacterial small subunit ribosomal RNA", at positions 524 to 776 of the family's 1533-position model. The record is from RNAcentral.
UACGUAGGAUGCGAGCGUUGUCCGGAGUUAUUGGGCGUAAAGCGCACGUAGGCGGUUUACUAAGUGUGGUGUGAAAUCUGCGGGCUUAACUCGCAGCGGUCGCCGCAGACUGGUAGACUGCAGGGCUGGAGAGGCAGACAGAAUUCCCGGUGUAGUGGUGAAAUGCGUAGAUAUCGGGAGGAAUACCAGUGGCGAAGGCGGUCUGCUGGCCAGUUUCUGACGCUGAGGUGCGAAAGCUAGGGGAGCGAACGGG